AAUAAAUCAAUAUUUCACUUUUUAUUUAUAAUUUUUGACUCUUCGUCUUAUUUAAUUUUUUUUAUGAUUAACAUUUUUGUUUUUAUUAGAUGAUAAAUCAUGAAUAGUAUUUUACGUGUGACUUAUUUUUUUUAAUAUUUCUUGAAAAAUUUUUAAAUAAAAUGAAUGGUCAAACGCUGGACACGGGAACCGA
This 193-nucleotide microRNA precursor is filed under the name Oryza brachyantha (malo sina). Its description in RNAcentral is "MIR812 microRNA precursor family". It matches the Rfam family "MIR812 microRNA precursor family". The record is from Rfam by way of RNAcentral. Lineage: Eukaryota; Viridiplantae; Streptophyta; Magnoliopsida; Poales; Poaceae.